UCACCCACUUAAAUGCUGGCAGUAACUGGACCUCCUGCUCAGCUGGGUGGGUGCAUUGACUAACAGAAGGGGAUUGUCUGGGCUCCUCCAGGAGCAGAGGGGAGAGGGGUCUAUCCAGGCUGCCUGCUUUGAGCAACUGCCUAACUCCUUCCUCAGUCCCUCGGCCCCACUCACCUCCAGACUGCAGUCUCCUUUUUCAUUUUAAAGACAAAACUUCCCAUCGACAAACAGCAUGUUUAUUUGCAGCUUUUACAGCUAGCAAAUCCUUUGGUACCAGGGAGCGCAGGACCCAGUGGGGGAAGAGUUCAGGCUUGGGCUGAAUGCCCAGGACUCAGCUUUGCAACCAGCCAAGAGCCUGGAGGCCCAACUCCCUGAAAGGGCCUUUUCUGGGUUGCUCUGAUCUGCCUGGUACCCAUAACUGUCUGUGUUUUAUAUUAUGGGCAGACAAACACUCAGAUGACGCAUGGCAGCCCAAGUUAUGCUUGUUUGAAAAUGCGUGGCAUUUCAUAAUCCUGCCGGAACACACUCUUCUUGCUGCAUUAGGAUCCAACUGGAAAACAUAAAGAUGAAUUGCUGUAGGCUGGAAAAUCAAUUAGGAAAAAGAGGUAAAACAUCUGGUGUUACUCUUAGAAUAUGAAAAUUCAUUUUGCACAUUUAAAAUAAAUGUGUUGAGUUGAUUUAAUUGCCUGUUGAACUGUUUCGUGGAAAAUACUGGGAAGUUGCAUUGAUCCUGGGCAUUUUGCAGUAAGGGGCAUUGUCUUGAGUUCUCCUUUAAUCUUAAUCUUUAAUCAAUCUGGAUUGUAUUUCUAAGGUCUUUUUCACGUGAGUUUCAGUAGACUUGGAACUUCAGUUUUCAAAGUCAAGUGUGUAUUAGAAUUACACGGAGGGCUGGUUAAAACACAGAUGGCUGGGCCUAACCCCACAGUUUCUGAUCCAGUAGGUCUGGGCUAGGGCUUAAGAAUUUGAAUUUGUAGCAAGGUUCUAAGUGAUGACAAGCUGCUGGUUGGGACCACACUUUGAGAACUACUGGCUUCGAAUAAGGGAGAGUCCUUGUCAGUGUACAGAGUAGGGAGGUGGUUUCCUAUGAAAAUAGAUUAAAUUCCACAGACUUAUGGUGCUAUGCCCUGCAGUCUUGACUUCCUUACACAACGGAGUACAUAGCUUCCAGAGAGCUUUCCUUCUAAGAUAAGCCACACAUAACUCCUAUCUUCUCUUCCCUACAUUCUUCUGCAAAAAUGGGUUUAAUGCCCUUCUAGAGAUUCAUUUCUUUCUUUCCUUUUUAAGGCUGGCAGUAACUGGACCUCCUGCUCAGCUGGGUGGGUGCAUUGACUAACAGAAGGGGAUUGUCUGGGCUCCUCCAGGAGCAGAGGGGAGAGGGGUCUAUCCAGGCUGCCUGCUUUGAGCAACUGCCUAACUCCUUCCUCAGUCCCUCGGCCCCACUCACCUCCAGACUGCAGUCUCCUUUUUCAUUUUAAAGACAAAACUUCCCAUCGACAAACAGCAUGUUUAUUUGCAGCUUUUACAGCUAGCAAAUCCUUUGGUACCAGGGAGCGCAGGACCCAGUGGGGGAAGAGUUCAGGCUUGGGCUGAAUGCCCAGGACUCAGCUUUGCAACCAGCCAAGAGCCUGGAGGCCCAACUCCCUGAAAGGGCCUUUUCUGGGUUGCUCUGAUCUGCCUGGUACCCAUAACUGUCUGUGUUUUAUAUUAUGGGCAGACAAACACUCAGAUGACGCAUGGCAGCCCAAGUUAUGCUUGUUUGAAAAUGCGUGGCAUUUCAUAAUCCUGCCGGAACACACUCUUCUUGCUGCAUUAGGAUCCAACUGGAAAACAUAAAGAUGAAUUGCUGUAGGCUGGAAAAUCAAUUAGGAAAAAGAGGUAAAACAUCUGGUGUUACUCUUAGAAUAUGAAAAUUCAUUUUGCACAUUUAAAAUAAAUGUGUUGAGUUGAUUUAAUUGCCUGUUGAACUGUUUCGUGGAAAAUACUGGGAAGUUGCAUUGAUCCUGGGCAUUUUGCAGUAAGGGGCAUUGUCUUGAGUUCUCCUUUAAUCUUAAUCUUUAAUCAAUCUGGAUUGUAUUUCUAAGGUCUUUUUCACGUGAGUUUCAGUAGACUUGGAACUUCAGUUUUCAAAGUCAAGUGUGUAUUAGAAUUACACGGAGGGCUGGUUAAAACACAGAUGGCUGGGCCUAACCCCACAGUUUCUGAUCCAGUAGGUCUGGGCUAGGGCUUAAGAAUUUGAAUUUGUAGCAAGGUUCUAAGUGAUGACAAGCUGCUGGUUGGGACCACACUUUGAGAACUACUGGCUUCGAAUAAGGGAGAGUCCUUGUCAGUGUACAGAGUAGGGAGGUGGUUUCCUAUGAAAAUAGAUUAAAUUCCACAGACUUAUGGUGCUAUGCCCUGCAGUCUUGACUUCCUUACACAACGGAGUACAUAGCUUCCAGAGAGCUUUCCUUCUAAGAUAAGCCACACAUAACUCCUAUCUUCUCUUCCCUACAUUCUUCUGCAAAAAUGGGUUUAAUGCCCUUCUAGAGAUUCAUUUCUUUCUUUCCUUUUUAAGAGACAGGGUCUUGCUCUGUCGCCCAGGCUGGAGUGCAGUGGUGCCAUCAUAGCUCACUGAAGCCUCAACCUCCUGGGCUCAAGCAAUCCUCCCACCUCAGUCUCCUGAGUAGGUGGGACUACAGGUGUGCCCAGCUAACUUUUAAAUUUUUUUUUGUAGAGACAAAGUCUUGCUAUUUUGCCCAGGAUGGUCUCGAACUCCAGGGCUCAAGCAGUCCUGUUAUAUCCUCCUCCGAAAGUGUUGGGAUUACAGGUAUGAGCCACCAGGCCCCAACCUAUUUCUGCCAUUCCUGAAUUCAGAAUGCAACAGCACUCUAAUUUAAUCAGCGUUGGCACCUACUUUGUGAACUCUGAUGAGGUGGGAAUACAAAAGCAAUAAAACACAGUCCUCCCCCUCCAGGAGCUCAUUCACAGCCUGGUGGCCCCCUGGCAGUUGCAAGAAGGCAUCCACCAAGACCACAAUUAUAGCAUGAUGUAAUGGAGGCAUUAGGCAAGGGCACGACAGGAGCCUAGGGCACAGGUACCUAUUUUUGCCCGGGAAGAUGGGGAAGGUGUCAUGGAGGAGGAAUCAUUUGAGCUAAAUCUUAAGCAGGAGUGGGUGAUGUGUAGGUGGAAAAAAUCUUGGGGGUGGGGUGGGGAGGGAGAUAAUUGGGCCAUUGGCACAUCGAGGAUACAUACAGCUUCUUUAUGUUACUGUAGGGCCUCGCCUCUGGGAAUAAAGCUGUCUUGGGUGAGAACUACUUUCUACUUUUAGUCCCUCUAGCGUAUAUUUCUUCAGUCAAGAAGAGUGGUAUUACCUAGCCAAGUAAAACACAGCCUCUCCUCUUCGCUCCCUGUUCACAAAACAAGGAGCAUCUAUCUGGCAGGCCAGGAGAGGGGGUUGGUGAUGAAGAUUUCAUUGUUUCCUCUGUGCCUUCCAGGGAUGUGAUUCAGACACAGGACUAGCUUUGUGAUCCCUGUGCUCCGGAGAAACCUCCACCCUGGCCUCAAGGAGGCUGUGAAACCAAAAGGGACCUUGGGUGCCAGCUUGCUGGGUCCUUACUUACUUGGUCCAUCUUCUGGCUGGAAGGAGCACCUGGGCUCUCAGAGUGCCCCCCGACUCUCAGCAGCUCCUUUUCUGGCCCAAGAGGUAAGAGUCUGGAGGACCCCAGUUCAGUUUCUUCCUGUUUAUUCUUUUAUCGUUGACUAUAAGAUUGUGAACCUAGCACAAUGCUAAGAGCUUGAGAUACAGCAGCUAAACAGACAGCCACUAUCCUUACCCUUUUGGAGUUUUUAGCAUAGUGGUGUGCCUAAACAAGUCAUAAUCAUGAUGAUGAUGAGAGGGUAUUACACAGGGCAUGACUACCAGAAGGUGGGCUCAUUGGAAGCCAUUUUAGAAGCAGCUGACCACAGUCUCUCUGGGGCGGGCACCAUUA
RNAcentral lists this long non-coding RNA (3968 nucleotides) under Homo sapiens (human). RNAcentral's name for it is "non-protein coding lnc-RHOB-1:3". The record is from RNAcentral. Lineage: Eukaryota; Metazoa; Chordata; Mammalia; Primates; Hominidae.